ACUCAAAUGAAUUGACGGGGGCCCGCACAAGCGGUGGAGCAUGUGGUUUAAUUCGAUGCAACGCGAAGAACCUUACCUACCUUUGACAUCCUUGGAAUCCUGCAGAAAUGUGGGAGUGCCUUCGGGAACCAAGAGACAGGUGCUGCAUGGCUGUCGUCAGCUCGUGUCGUGAGAUGUUGGGUUAAGUCCCGUAACGAGCGCAACCCUCGUCCCUAGUUGCUAACAGGUAAUGCUGAGAACUUUAGGGAGACUGCCGGUGAUAAACCGGAGGAAGGUGAGGAUGACGUCAAGUCCUCAUGGCCUUUAUAGGUAGGGCCACACACGUGCUACAAUGGAAAGUACAAAGGGUAGCCAACCCGCAAGGGGGAGCCAAUCUCAGAAAACUUUUCGUAGUCCGGAUUGGAGUCUGCAACUCGACUCCAUGAAGUUGGAAUCGCUAGUAAUCGCGAAUCAGAACGUCGCGGUGAAUACGUUCACGGGCCUUGUACACACCGCCCGU
Molecule: ribosomal RNA, 499 nt
Filed under: uncultured bacterium
Lineage: Bacteria
Description: partial 16S ribosomal RNA
Rfam family: Bacterial small subunit ribosomal RNA
Source: RNAcentral